Molecule: microRNA precursor, 228 nt
Organism: Prunus persica (peach)
Lineage: Eukaryota; Viridiplantae; Streptophyta; Magnoliopsida; Rosales; Rosaceae
Rfam family: MIR159 microRNA precursor family
Source: Rfam
AAUGGGGAGAGAGAGCUUUCUUCAGUCCACUCAUGGAUAAGAUUUUAAGGGUUGUUGAAGUAGCUGCCGACUCAUUCACUCAAGCACUCAGUAGAAAAAUUCGAAAGGAGUGAGAAAAAAAAGAACCAUCAAACAAUUUGCUACUGUGAUUGUGUGAAUGAAGCGGGAGAUAUUUUACAUCCCUCUUUCUCUGCGCUUGGACUGAAGGGAGCUCCUCCUUUCCAUUGC